GAUGAAGAACGUAGCGAAAUGCGAUAAGUAAUGUGAAUUGCAGAAUUCAGUGAAUCAUCGAAUCUUUGAACGCACAUUGCGCCCAUUAGUAUUCUAGUGGGCAUGCCUGUUCGAGCGUCAUUUCAACCAUCAAGCCCCCGGCUUGUGUUGGGGACCUGCGGCUGCCGCAGGCCCUGAAAACCAGUGGCGGGCUCGCUAGUCACUCCGAGCGUAGUAAUACAUCUCGCUCAGGGCGUGCUGCGGGUUCCGGCCGUUAAAAAGCCUUAUUUACCCAAGGUUGACCUCGGAUCAGGUAGGAAGACCCGCUGAACUUAAGCAUAUCAAUAAGCGGAGGA
RNAcentral lists this unclassified non-coding RNA (335 nucleotides) under soil metagenome. Its description in RNAcentral is "partial contains 5.8S ribosomal RNA, internal transcribed spacer 2, and large subunit ribosomal RNA". The stretch from base 1 to 120 matches the Rfam family "5.8S ribosomal RNA", at positions 35 to 154 of the family's 154-position model. The record is from RNAcentral.